GCUCGAGACACAGCAGCUCCCAGGCCGUUCACCGUCGGCACCAUAGUCCGUUCACCACCGACACCCAAGGCCGUUCACCGACGCAACGAUGAGAUUUGGCCAUUGUCACCCACGACCGCGCACUCGUAUCUCUCCAGCUUCAAGUAGUGUCCUCCUCUAGCUGCAUGUCACGUUCUCCUCCAGCUGCAGGCUAAUGCUAUGGUGCACAUUCAAGGCAGCAAGCAAACCACAGGUCGCAGCGCCGCCGUUGACCACAUGUGCGCAUGCAUGCGAUUGAUGCGUGUGUGCUUUAGGUAUGCAUCUCAAUGCCUCCUCCCUUCCUCUUUUCAUGUAGCAUAUUUUGAAAAAAUUAGACGCUUUCAACUGAAUAAAAAAUGUGUCACACAAGUUCAGGUAUAAGUGCGGCAGGACUAUAGAAAUCUGAACAAACAAAGCUCAAACCAAAAGCUAAUGUACGUGUGAUGUCCAGUUUCUUCCUUCGGUUCAGUUCAAUUUAAUCCGUUCAAUAUGUGCAAUUUAAUGGAUGAGUGUUAUCUAGAUCCUUUUAAUCUGAAGGUAGUUGCACCACUAAGGAAAGUAAAAAAACCCAGUAUUUUCCAUAGACAAGAAAUGGGCAUUUGGCUCAGUAAUCGUCCAUUACUAGAGGUAUUGUCACUUGACCAUUUUCCAGAACUAGUUUCAAUUCAUGGACUACCGGCACUUGCAAAAUCAAAGAGGCUGACCAUACCAAAGUGCCCAAAGUUGAAGCAAAGGAGAUGAGAUGCUACAAAAAAGAUUGUUGGCAUGAUUCUUGAAUUGGGGACUGGAGUUCAAGUAUUAAAUCCAGGCAAGUUCAAAAAUUAAACCGCAAGAAGUUCUUGUUUAUUUAGCAAUAUUAAGUUGACUGUGCAAAAAUCAGUGGUUUAAAUAUGAAAGAAGAAUGUAAAAGGUCCAACAUGCGCAUGUUGCCAGUGCCCCUAGUAGGCCUCUACCUCCGGCUGCCAGUGCAGCUCACGGCUACCUGUACUCCUCCAACAUGUGCACGGUUGCUGCUCUCCUCUGCUUUCUCUCUCUCUCUUGCAUGAUGUUGUUGCUCCUCUCAAAUCUCUCUAGCUCUAUUAAUUCAUGAUGCUGCCUCAUCUCUGAAUUGUUGUGGUGACGCUGAGGUUUUGUUGUCACCCACAGGAUCCCCUGCCUCCAUGUCCAUAUUCAGAUGUGCUGCAAGUUCAAUUGUUUCAGUUCGAGCGGGUGCACAAAACACAAUGUGUAGUCCGUACUGUCCACAUGUGCUGCAAGUUCAAUUGUUUCAGUUCGAGCAUUUGCUACCCUAGUCAUUUGUUUGUUGCUAAAAUGUUGGAGUCGUACUUCUCAUUCUUGCAUGAAUUUUUAUAUACCAUCGUGUUUAUUUCUAAAUGCCAACCACUUUUUUUUGCCGUCAGGUGUUUGCUUAAAUGCCUAAACAAAGAUCUAUUUUAGUUCAGUGCAAAUCUUCUUUUAAGUUCAGUACAAUUUCUUAUUUUAGUGUGAGCAAUCCUUCAAAUGUCUUGCCUUAUAUUACUGCUCAUCCAUCAUAUCUUUGUGUACUCUUUCUUGAUGUCAGUACACAGAACAAAAAAAAUUACGUCAAAUUGACAAUUUUUAAUCUCUUCUAUGUUAGUAUAGGCUACAUGUAUACAACAUUUAAUCUGUAGUAGUAGUAGCAGUUUUGCUAUGUAAAGGAGCAGCGGAACUCCAGUAAGUUGUGAGAAUAUCACAUUGGAUACAUGAGUGCAGGAUUAAUACAUUGUUAAUUAUUGCAGGUAGGUCAGACCUUAGAAGCCACCUGCAGCCGCACUUGCCAGCACCCGCGACGAGCCACCCCACCGGCCCCCAAGGCGCGCCGUCCCACAGUCCGCUGGGCAUGGCGUCCUCCUGAAAUAAAAUAAAUGCGCCAUGCUCAAUCCAACCCUGUGGCUUCUGGUGGCCGAGUUCGUCACGACCAUCAGUUCGGAGACCUGCGUCACUGCCCGUGACGCUACAAUGGCCACCUGCAUCACUGCGUGCUCCGUCAACAGCCUCCUGCACAAGGCAACAGGAGUAGAGACGUCUGAGAUGCUCUGUUCUAGCGAGGUGGCUGAUUAUGUUUGUCAGUUUGAAAUACUUUGGCCACAGUGUACUUAUGUAUCUUUUUCUGGCCGGAGCACAAUCGGAGCUUAUGUCAGUACGAACUUUGAUUGUGAUGGUACUACAGACUCUAUAAAAACACCAGCAAUCCAUUUUUACUGGUACCUUUUAUACGAUUCACAUGGAUUGUGCCCCUAUUACCAACUGUGGUACAAAAUGCAUUGUGCUCACCAUUUUAUUUUAGUUCUUCAGUUUGUAAUA
Triticum dicoccoides is the source of this 2343-nucleotide long non-coding RNA. RefSeq lists it as uncharacterized. Lineage: Eukaryota; Viridiplantae; Streptophyta; Magnoliopsida; Poales; Poaceae. The transcript is spliced from 3 exons. The record is from RefSeq and is a predicted model, not a curated record.